CCUACGGGUGGCAGCAGUGGGGAAUAUUGGGCAAUGGGCGCAAGCCUGACCCAGCAACGCCGCGUGAAGGAAGAAGGCUUUCGGGUUGUAAACUUCUUUUCUCAGGGACGAAGCAAGUGACGGUACCUGAGGAAUAAGCCACGGCUAACUACGUGCCAGCAGCCGCGGUAAUACGGGGGAUGCAAGCGUUAUCCGGAUUUAUUGGGUUUAAAGGGUGCGUAGGCUGUGAGGUAAGUCAGCGGUGAAAUGCCCCCGCUCAACGGGGUGAAGUGCCAUUGAUACUGCCUUGCUGGAAUGCGGAUGCCGUGGGAGGAAUGUGUGGUGUAGCGGUGAAAUACAUAGAUAUCACACAGAACACCGAUUGCGAAGGCAUCUCACGAAUCCGCGAUUGACGCUGAUGCACGAAAGCGUGGGUAUCAAACAGGAUUAGAUACCCUAGUAGUC
Molecule: ribosomal RNA, 444 nt
Filed under: uncultured bacterium
Lineage: Bacteria
Description: partial 16S ribosomal RNA
Rfam family: Bacterial small subunit ribosomal RNA
Source: RNAcentral